CCUACGGGGGGCAGCAGUAGGGAAUCUUCGACAAUGGGCGCAAGCCUGAACGAGCAAUGCCGCGUGAACGAGGAAGGGCUUCGGAUCGUAAAGCUCUGUUGAAGGGGAAAAAGAGCGGAGAGAGGAAAUGGUCACCGAUUGAUAGUACCCUACGAGGAAGUCACGGCUAACUACGUGCCAGCAGCCGCGGUAAUACGUAGGUGGCGAGCGUUAUCCGGAAUGAUUGGGCGUAAAGGGUGCGUAGGCGGCCUGCUAAGGCUGGAGUGAAAGGUAUCGGCUCAACCG
Molecule: ribosomal RNA, 285 nt
Filed under: uncultured bacterium
Lineage: Bacteria
Description: partial 16S ribosomal RNA
Rfam family: Bacterial small subunit ribosomal RNA
Source: RNAcentral